CACUUCACAACAUCUUGAUGGACCAAAGGGCCAAUGGUGGUGGACGGCUCCUCUCUCUUCACUGCAGGACAGAAAGACUCCAGUGAAGCUGUUUCUUCUUCGUCAAAACAAUGCCAAGCAGUCUACUGGACACGCUGGUGAUUAUAGGGAGCACACCCAAACCUGACCAAUCAAACGGAGCGAACAAACUCCGUACGACACACUGGUGAAUAUACGAAAACGCAUCCAAACAGAUGCGCUCUGGCUUUCCUGUUAGCUAGCGCAGACAACUACACACUGACUCAGAGAGACGCUGCAGACAUCUGCUUUCUCUCUCUCCGGUAUAAGCAGUAUAGCAAAAUUUCUACCGGUAGACACUUUUAUACCGCCACACGGUUUAUACCGUCAUACUGCCCAACACUACUCUGUGGUUGUGGACAAUCAAACUUAGGGGCGAUUUGAGAUUUUGCUUUGGACUUCCUCUCUAAGAGCGGCAGGGAUGUUUCUCUGUCAGUUAGGUCUGCUUUUGUGCAUCACUGAAAUAUCAGUAGAUUCAAAAACAAAGUCAUGUAUUGAUCACGCUAAUACUGACCCUUCUAGCUGGUUAUGUUUCAGUACAUAAGUGUGAGUCUGAUACCCUCUACAUGUUUGCCACCUCAUGUUAAAGGGCUUAUUCGUGUGAGUGUCCAUGUGUGUUACUACCACAUUCCAUACCAGUCAUCUCCCUGAUCACGUGACCGCUGCUAAGUCAGGAUUCGGUUGCUAGGAGACACCCUCCACCCCUCCCUCCUCGCCUCCAUGCCCGCCUCUGGCUUUUAGCCCAUCAAACUGUGAUUCUGUGGGUGGAAGGGGGGAUGCGAGUGGGGAUCGAAGUUUAUUUAUAGAAGCCACGGCGAAGAGGGGGAAUUACACGUCGAGUCUAAAAUUAAACCGGUCAUGUCCCCUGUCUACCGCUCCCUCACUCCCUCUCUCUGUAUUCUUUCUUUGCUCGCUCACUUUCUUUGGCAGAUUCAUUCAUAGAUGAAGAGAGGAGAAGUGUGAGAUAAGAUGACAAGGCUGCGUGAGGAGUGAGGAGUGUGGGAGUAAAAAGAUCUAGUGGAGCGAUAUUAGCCAACCUGUAGAGAGAUUUAAUUUAAUAACCAACUAAGAGCCUCUAUAUUAAAUUUUUAGACACAUCUUUAUGACUUUGAAUUAAUCUGAAAUAUGUAAAUGGUUUCGUUUAAACUCUUUGCUUCAUUUCUUCACUUCUUAUUUAUAGAUUUCAGAGCAGCAGAGAUUUACUGCAGCCCGACAAAAAGAGGCUCUGACUGGAACCCAAACCAUGAACUACUAAAUCAUAGACUUUCUCCAUUAACGUUCCUGUCACAGCCGCCUUCGCACAAAAUUAAAUCACCCCUGCAGCUUCUACAUCCCAGGAGUCCAGCAGAGUGCAACCAUUUUAGACGUGCUGUGCAGGAACUGGUGUCAAAAUGGAGAGCCCAUCAGACUGUAGCCACAGCUGUCCCUGUUAUGGAUGGAUGAAUGGAUGGGGUGACAGGAUGACAGGGUGGGAAGUGGAGGAAAAGACGAGUGGAGACUGAAGGGGAGAGUUUCUAAUAUAGGAGGGAGGAAAGAUGCAGUUUGUUGAUUAGAUUCACUUUGUUUCUGUAAAGGAGGCUGGUAUCGCUCCUGCAAGAUUUAGUCUUUACAUAAAUACUUCUUUAAUUUUGUGAUAAACUGAACCAAAACAAACUCAUCACCAUCAUAAUGUUUAGACCUUUUAACACGCAUCUCUAACCAGAAGACUGCUUUGACAAAUUUAUUAAUAAUGAAGCUGCCUGGAAGCCGGCUGUUACUCACAGCCAGAGCCGAUCAAUCAUCUCUCCAUCAGAAGUUCAGGAGGUUGAACUUGACUCCUGCUGUCCUUGUGUUGACGUGUCCUUGGGCAAAAUUUCAAAUCAGUCCCAGUGGUAUAUCCACUGCUGUGUGAAUGCAUAUGAAUGGGUUAACUAGUGUUAGUGGUCAUAUAAAUGACAGGUAUCUGCCAACAGUGUGUGAAUGUGUGAAUGUGACACUGUUCAAGUACGAGUCUAUUCACUGUUUAGCAGAAGGAAAUAGCUGACCUAUCUAACUUAGGGCUGGACGAUAAGGGAAAAAGUUUAUCGCAGUUUAAUUUUUUUCAUAUCAGUCGAUAUCUAUAUGUAUCACAAUAUAAAAAAAAAUAUUUGUCAAUCUUAAAUGUUCCCUGUUACUCUUAAAUGAAAGUUAACAUGUACUCAACAUAAUUUGCACAGUACUCUGCCUCAUGUCCGACGUUAAAAAAACAAAAUACCUCCACUAUCAACUAAUCAACUAAUCGAUGAUCAUUAAGAAUUACGUCGAUCUUGCAAACAUUCGAUCUAUCUUUAUUAAAAAAGGGCCGACAGGGUGCGUCCAACCUUAAGCUGCUUUCCAGCCAAGAUCAUUUCAAUGAGGAAAAACGUAUUUUUCUUCCAUUCGCAUAAAAAAAACGAUCAAAUUGAUGACUGAUCAUUAAUUUAUAGGAUUAAUCAAUCGAGGGACUUUCUUAAAAUUCCCAUUCCUAAUCUCCAUAUUUGUCACUUUCUGACAGUGUCACAGCCUCAGGGGGUCACCUCCAACUCUCUUUUGGUUUCUGCACUAGUCAUUGUUUGACUAGAUUAUUUUAAGCACAAUUGUCUGUGUGAGACUCGUGACAGCUAAAGGCUUCUGCUUUCUUCUUAAUCUAGCGCCCAUGUGUGGAGUUAACGAGGGGUUAAGAAACAGGCUGAAAUGAACAGCUUUGUUUCUGUAAGAUGUUAAAAAAACAAUCGAGAUCUGACAGCUACAACUCUGACAGCUUCUAAAUGAUCAUUUUCAGCACAGUCUUACACAGAAGGGCUAAUGAACGACUUAACAGCUGCAGUUUUAUUUUUUAUUUCCUCUGCUCCACAUUUAUUUUAGCAGACAUGUUUGUCUCAUAAGAUAAGAAGGUAACCAAUGCGGUACCCCCUAACAGCUGACCCAGACGAGAAACGAAAUGCUAAAAUGGAAAUAAAAGGAGUGUAACCGCAUCAUUUUACCAGACGUCAGAAAGAAAGUAAACUGUCAUAAUUCUCAAAAUGUUAAAGGUUGUAUUUUUGGGAAUUUCCCCUUGUGGGACUGAUUAAGGAGUACUUUAUCUUACCUCUCGCUUAUCUUUCAAUGUUGAGACUGUCAGAAGAAAAAGAAGAAAAUCUGAGUUCGAAGAUGCACAGAAUGUGUUUUGAAGCAAAGAUAUUUUAAGUCUCGGGACACUGUGUUUGGCUGUGAUUUCUAACAGGGUUUGGCUGAGGUUUGUUAGUCGUGACUGUUUGUGUUGAUUCACAGUCGAGUUGAUUCCAGGCUUUUUAGGGAAGAUUUUCAACGGAUCACAGCACACAUUGUCAUUUUGAAAAUGACUUCGACUCAAAAUGACAAUGAGUUUGAACAGCAGCACAGUUCUCCAUCAAACCUGUCACAUUGACUCUGUGUCAAAGAGUCACCUUCAACCGUCUAAAAACACACUAAGGUGUUGCACCCUUCAACCAAAACAGCCUGCACAGGUUUACAUUAAAAGUCGCUUUUGUGCUCCUCCCUUUAUAUACCUCCACAACAUGUCACACAAGACAAAUGUGCAGACAUUACAGACCAUGUCCCAGUGCUGCUUCUCCCCAUUACCCCGCAGAAAAGGUCCACUAACCCCAUCAGAGUGAGCAGUCGUGAGCUUUAGAAAAAGGAACAAUAAGGCCGACUCAUUCCCCUGAGUCUGUUACCAGCUUCAGCAGCUGUUUGGAAAUGUUGUACUGCUUUCUCUGCUAAUAUUGGAUCCCUUUACCAUUCAAAGAGAUGCUUUUUCAAGUUUACAAUGACAAAAAGGGAUCUCUUGACACUUUGUAUACAGAGCAGGUCGAUUACACUCUUCGUAAAAUCACUAGCAAACACCCAACCUCAUCCACGAAGGCUCAAUCUCCAAAAAUGGCCACUUUCAUACUUAGGAUUCAACUGCUAACUGACUAUCUGAGAUUCAAGAAUACCCAACACCGGCCUCUGAAAAUGUGAGAGCUCCCCGUCUUUCCACCUGCUUACAUGGGAUGCCCAGGCCUGAAGCGGGUGGAGCACACCACCCACCUUCCUGCUGUGUGCAUACAUAAAAAGCCAACGCAGGGAGGGCAGCAGCAGCAAGUGUGGCCACGCCAAAAGAGGGCAGAUGGUGCACCGACGCUGUGGCUUUAAUUUUCACACUAAAAUAUAGGGCUGGGCGAUAAACCGAAAAUUUACGACAACAACUGAUGCCAUUUUGCCUGUAUCGGUAUAUUCGGUGUCAAAAAAAUAAAGUUGGUUUUGGAUGUGUGUAGGUAGGCUAUGGUCUCAUGUCCCUUUUAAGACGCUGUCCUACGUCAGAGACAUGACUCCACCCCAUCCAGUCAGUAACAAAGAGGGAAAGACAGGUGAGGAGAUGGAGGACAGUUCAAAAGUUGUAGCAGCUGAAGUAGACGAAGUUAACGUGGGAGGGGGUGAGCAGCUUAUGGAGUAGUUUAUCUGUUCAAUAUAUCGUGAUACUGAUUUGAGGCCAUAUCGCCCAGCCCUUUUAAAACAGCUCUGCGAACUCAAAGUAUGAGGUUUUGAAGGACCAUGUAGCAGCAUAACAGUCCGUUUUCCCCUGGCCUUACACCAUGGAGGUAAGGAUAACAUCUUAUCCCAUUCAACCAUAAAAGGGGGCAGUGAUUUUAUGCCACAACAAAUACAAACACCAAAGCACACAACUCUCUAACAUGCCUUCAUUGGGAUGCAUUGAAACAGACAGCGGACUAUGACUACUUUAACGUCUCCUCUUUCCUCCUCUCCUGCUCAGCCUGCUGUGUCCCUGCUGAGGGAAAUCGACUGAUUGUAUCUCAAGGUCUUAUCAAAUCUGAUGUUCCUCGCACCACUGGAGCCGCACCGUGAUGAAUGGACGGAGAUUUCCUCUACAAGGUCAUCCUAACACCUAUAACAUCCGUCAGUGUGUGGGUGUGGGUGUGUGUGUGUGUUACCCCAUAGUAACAGUGAUGGCUUUUGUUUGUUGGCCAAAUGAAACAUCAGCAUUAUGGGAGAUAAGGAGAAAGAGACGGAGAUGGAUGUGUGAGGCGGCUUCAUUACCCAGGUGAGCAGAUCUGAAGAAACGCACUGCAGAAAAAUAAAACGCCAUCCGGUACUCCAAUACGACCUACAGGAGUGUCCCUGAAACAACAAAGUCUAACAGCAGAAGGAAAAAGCUCCUACAACAGAUAAACACCAAUUUAGGUAAAACUAAGACAGAAUUCAGUCUAGGGCUGGGCGAUAUGGCUUCAAAUCAAUAUUGCGAUAUAUUGAGCAGUUCACCUUGAUAACGAUAAAUGGACGAUAACUUCUCCACAAGCUCCACAUUAACUCCAAAUUAACUUCGUCUACUUCAGCCGCCGCUCCAACUUUUGAACCGUCCUCCAUCUCCUCACCUGUCUUUCCCUCUUUGUUACAGACUGGAUGGGGUGGAGUCAUGUCUCCAACGUAGGACAGCGUCUUAAAGAGACAUGAGACCAUAGCCUACCUACACACAUAUUUUUUUUUAACAACGAAUAAAUUGACAUGGGCCAAAUGACAACGGUUAUUGUCGUAAAUUUCUGUAUCGCUAAAUUUUCGGUUUAUCAUCCAGCCCUAUUAGAGGUACCACCCACAUGCACAUUUUCAAAGCUGUGUGUGUGAGCUACUUACCUCCCUAAUGACCAGAAUAAGCAAAUACAGUGAAGUUGUAGUCCCAAAACCCCCCAAAUUUACCGAAAAAAAGAGCUAAAAGAGCGCAUAAAAACUUCAGGGGUGGUUAAUAAUUGACUGUAGCUCCCACUUUUACAUGCACAAAUGAGACAAGGCUUUGAUUCAGGACCAGCUUUGAGGAUAGUUUUUGCUAACGUUUUCAGUGCCAUUUCUACUUCAUCCAUACCUGCAGCCAUUAUUAGAUAGUAAGUGAUGGUACAGUCUGUUUUUCAGUCAGUCAAAACAACCUGUUUCACCCGUCUAAAGCUCCACACCUACAGACCAUCUACAGAUCAACCCUGCUGUGUAAAACACCGACUCUUCACACUGUCCUCGCCUGUAAAUCUACACUCCUGCAUCGACGGUUUUUCAGCCUUCCUGCUCCUCGUUGAGUUUUCAUCUUCAAAUAUAAAUACAGGCCUCUUUUACAUUCACCCUUCACUUUAUGAGCUGUUCAAUGAAUUAUUCACACAGUCAUCACAGUCAUAAGUCAUCGUAGGUUUAAUAUCUGUAAUGUAAAGAUAUUGUGGUUUCAGCAGACAUCUCAUCCCUUAUUCAUCAUCCGUGUUCAUCUUAUCUCGACUAAACCAAAGAGUAAAUCACUCUCAUCGGUUUCGUACCACAAACACUCGUGCCUGUUUGAUAUUCCAGCCCCUCAGAACUGAGGAAACAGUAUAAUUACACAGUGUGGUGCGUUGAAAUGCUGCUAAAUGAUUUAAUCAGAGCCUGAAUACAGGAGACUGAGCAGUUCAAUAUGUUACGUAAUUCUCCACAGUAACAGGUUGUUGUAUAAAUGAAGCGUUCACACCUUUUAGUGAUUAACAUUUGAGGUGUUGGAUGAUUUCAGCCGUUCUGCGUUGCAUCGUGAGUCACUCUCGCCCCUUCCUCACCUCCACCCCUCCCUCCAUCUUGUCCUCCCCGCCUCACGCUGGGAAUUAUGCAACACUCUGCAGGAGCGGAGGGAGGACUCUGUGUGCAUAAAUGUGUGUGAAUGUGUGUGUGUGUGAUGGAGGUAGAUGGAUGGAGAAAAAAAAGAAAGGGAGAUAAGUGUGUGUACGAGAGUGAAACGAGAGAAAGUCAGGGUUGGACUUCUCCUUUAUAAACUUCUCCUUUCUUUCAUUCAUCAUUUCCAUCACAGCUGUUUCAAUCUUUCUCCAUCAAGGUCGUUGACAAGGACGGUCUAGCUGCAUUUUCUGGCCUCCGAUUGGCUGUUUCCGAGGAGCAGGGCCUUAAAGGGACAGCGGCGCAGCAGCCAUGUUUUGUCACAGUAAAGAGCAGCAGCUGGAGGAGGUGUGACAGUGUUUGAGGAGACCUGCCUCACACACAUGGAAUUUCCCAAACUGCCUCCUGCCCUCGCUGAAGUAAUUAGUGAGGAGUCAAAAUAGCUGGAAGAGCUGGCAGUGAGAGCGCUUUUGUCAUGGUGAGGCCUUGAAAAUGACCUGAAAUCACAGCAAUACAAUCCUUUUAGUUUUAUUUAUCUAAAACAGCGAGACAGAAAGGUUAUCUGACACCUUUACCAAAAACUGUGAGGACAGACGAGAAGUAGAAAACCAUCUCUGCAGUAUCUUGUAGGUCUCAUGAGGAGUUUUUGAUGGAGUGACUGUGAAACCGAUUGAAAUGAAAACAAAACAAAACCGCCAGUGAGAAAACUUACAACUUCUGUUUUGUCAUUUUAAAUGCCUGUUCCCACCGUGAGGAGGAAAUCACCUAUCGUUUUUCAGCUUUUAAAAUUCAAACUUUUGGCUGUUUUUACUGAAUGCAAAUUCCACAGCUUUGUUGUUUUCAUUACAGCCUCUUGUAGUGCAGGUUAACUUUGUAUUUCUGACUUUGAGAUGAGGGAUGGGGCCGAUCUGAUCCAGUGUCGGUAUCAGGUUCCAAUACCAACGUAAUUCAUGUAUUGGAGAUUUCUGAUCCAACCUGUGAAGAUUUCCGAUCCAUAGGUCAUGCCUUUGCUUAAAUUUUGCUGAAAUUAUAAUGUCAAGUGAUUCUUGAUUCCUAAUGGCUGCAAACUGUGCAAUGGAUUUCCUGAACGGAGGCGUGUCUCAAUGAGACACAGAGAUGAGACACGCCUCUUUACGUUCAGGAAAUCAUACGUACAUAUACUUGUCUGAAGAGAGGAGUUUAUUACAGUGCCAUAUAAAAUAAACAAUAAUGAUAAUAAUGAUGGUAAAACUAAAAGAGCUCUGGUAUCGCAAUAGUAUCAGUAUCGGCAGAUAUCCAAAUUCAGGAAUAGAGAUCGAAUCGGAUGUGAAAAAAUGUGGAUCGGUGCAUUCCUAUUUACUGUCCUUGUACGGAUUGCAGGACAGGCUUUCACUCCACUUUUGUCUGUCAGGCUCCUCCCACAUCUGUUAGUCCUAAGAGUCAUUAAGCCCAGCCUGAGACAGAGGGUCAGUCACUGUUAUGUGGUUUCGGCCAAUCAGAAUCAACUACUUCACUCACUCUUGACUCAUUUAAUAUAAAUCACUCAGUAAUUAAUCACGGUGAAACAUUGGCUCUGGUUUAAAUCUGGUGGAAUAGCUGGUGGCAAACCUCAUCAUGGUCAAGCUUGUGCCUUUGCUAGUCUUGGUAUUUUUAUCGAUGACCCAUAGCUUCAAGGUUUGUAGCCUUUUUGAUCCAUGAAGAUCUGUGUUUUGCAGACUAGUUAAGGAGCCAAAUGGACAGUAAAUUGAAUUGAAAUAGCAUAGGUACGUCAUUAUCCAUCUCAAAAACAGUUAUUGUUGGGACUAAUGGGGUUUUUAGUCUUCUUGUCUUGCAUGCUGGCAGGUUAUAACACUGCAAGACUCACAUCUUAUGUCUCAUUUGUCGUCAGAAUAUCUCUUCACCCUUACUAUAAACAACAAGUCCAGAUUUAAACCUCAUUUCAAGACAUUUCAACCAUAAAUUAAAGACUUCUUAAGGACUCUGUUAAUAAGUAUUGCAUCUUAUUUCAAGAAGCUCAUCAAAAACAAGAUUUGUGUGAUAUAAUGGCAGCCAUUUUUACUCACUACAAUCAAUCGAGUCCUUAUUUUUGCUAAAUGCAUACACUAAUCAGUGUUUUUUUCAGCCUGAAGCCUGAAAGUCUGGGUUAGAAGUGGUUAACGGUUGUCCAAUCUGUAGAUAAAGACUUUUGAAAAUCACAGCCAGUACUUUUUGUCCAUGUUCAUCUUCCUUCUAUACAGUGAAGAAAAAUCUCCCUGCUGUGACUCCAGUUAUCGCGGCCAGUGUUUCUAUUAUAAGAUGUGACUGGAGCAGAAAGUGCAGCGAGCGUAGGCGGAGGAGAGAGAAGCUCACACACAUACAAACACACUUACACACGUACAUGCAGACUCACAAAUACAGGGAUAAGAACUUCCAUAUGUGAAUAAUUGAUUCAGCACUUCCUUAAAGAAGCGUACUCGGUGUUCCAGGAGGAGAAGUUCAUGUGUGGUAACAGGAAGGGAGAGAAAUAACGAAGAGUUAUAUAUAUCUUCAACACAGUCUGGAUUUAUUCAGUCACUGUUUCAUUAUUUGAGAUCAGAUGAAAAAAAAACUUGACGUAAAUGUCUCAGAAGUAAAACUUUUCCGAGAAAAAUUCAGUAUUUUUUAUUUGAAGUGUUUCUUUUUCGUGACUCGGGCUUUGUUCUCUCCGAUUUGUGACUCGAGAUGACGGCAAAGCUUGUGAGUUGAUUGAGUGUUUGACCUCAGGGAAGACAAACCAAACAAUUGCACUCCCCUGCAAAGAUACAGAAUAGAGAGAGAGAGAGGGAGGAGAGAAAAGGAUACUUCCAAAACCUGAGAUGACCUCAGAGAAGCUCGUUUAGGGAUGAAACAAACUCUUCUUCUUUCUUGAACUGCUGCCUUUGAGCUCUGAAGUCACAAUGACGGAGGAAGAUGGAAGGAAAAGAGAAGAGAGGAGAUAAAACAGCUCGAGGGCAGAAAAGGUACAAGAGGAGAAAAAAGGCUGAAAGAAAUGACUAUUUGUUCUACUUGAAAGAAGGAGGCCACUGAAGUGGAGCACUUUAUUAAAUGUCUCUGGGAUGUUGACUCAAACUUUAGUCAUACCAGCUUUGGUUUCACGCCUAAAAGAAGUCAUACAUAUUUAUAUUACAAUCCUUUUAAAGCGGUGUACAGAACAAGAGAGCUGUCCGUGGUGCUGAUCCCAGAGCUUUUGGGAACCAUGUAUAUGACAGUGGACCAAAGUUUCCUAUUUCUCUCCUACUUGCUGAGUUACUAAACCAUCUGUGCCAGUGUUUCUGUAAAAUCCAGAAUCUAUACGUUGCAGCUGCAGCAGUCUGUGGGGUUUCUCAGUGGGGACGAAGGUUUCAACCACCUCCCUGUGUGAUGAUUCCCAUUAUGCUUGGCUGUGUGCACUUCCUGUACACAUGUGUAGCUCCGUCUUGUACCAUCUGCUUGCAUCAUAUGGAGUUUAUUUCCCCGCUAGCUACUGCUACAGUUGUUGCGCUCAGCAUAUAGUAACUUUGAUAGUUUUGACUGAGGUACGCACACCCACUGGGAUUGCUCCAACCACCACAGGGUACUUGUUGUUUUACUCCGAGGAGUCUUUUCUGUCAAAUGGGCCCUCCACAAGGUCUGUUUACUUUAGAGUACACCACAGUUUUCUGGAAAACAAGUAGAAAAGCAGUUAAAAGUGAAGCUGCAGGUCUAAUCUGUCUUCCUGUGUAUCCCAGCAUGCUUUGUUGAGCAGCUGCUUGCAAAAUACAGUUAACGAGGAUGAAAAUUUUAUUGUCAGGUCAGUGUUUUUUUACGCGCUUCUAACUCAGUUAGUCCACGCUACACACACUCAAACUCUUCGUCUCUCUUAGUGAAACGAAGUCACGCUUUAGCUCGUUUCUGCCUACUUUUCGUACCAUCUGCCAUGUUUUUUUCCCUCGAAGUCUCUGUUAUCAUUUGCGUAGACUGCCUCUCACAAGACUGUUUUCCAAAGCACCCGGAAGAAAGGAAUCAUUAAGGGAAUCGUUAAAAUGAAAUGUAAAUGAGGUCGAUGGAUUGAACUAUUUGGAACCGGUUCUCAACAAGAACGGUUCUGGAUUCUUAUCCCUAGUCUCACCUCUGUCCAUCUCUCUUUAAACCAGCUCAGUCUUGGCAGAUGACUGUUUAACAUGAGUCUGGUUCUGCUCGAGGUUUCUGCCUGUUAAAGGAAGUUCUUCCCCUCCACUCUAACUCCUUAGAUGCUGAAAAGUGUGUUGCUUGUGUGGUUUCAGAUGGGAUGGAAGUGGGUCUGAUCUUUCAAGAUGGGUCUCAGUCUGAUCCUGUCUUUACAUCGGGUCUUUGUAAACAGUUUGGUUGAGAUAAUGUUGUAUUAUCGACAAAGCUCGUUGAAUUCCAGAUUGAUCUGAGUUUUGCUGUCCAAUCAGAGUCUUGAAAUCUGUGUGUUAAGGCUGGGCGAUAACCCGAAAAUUUACCGAUACAGAAAUUUAUGACAAUAACCAACAUCAUUUUGCCCAUAUUGGUAUAUUCAAAAAAUAAAUAAAUAAAAGUUGGUUUCGGAUGUGUGUAGGUAGGCUAUGGUCUCAUGUCCCUUUAAGACGCUGUCCUACAUCAGAGACGUGACUCCACCCCAUCCAGUCAGUAACAAAGAGGGAAAGACAGGUGAGGAGAUGGAGGACGGAGAGAAAGUUGUAGCAGCUGAAGUAGACAAAGUUAAUGUGGGAGGGGGUGAGCAGCUUGUGGAGUAGUUAUCGCCCAUUUAUCGUUAUCGAGGUGAACUGAUCAAUAUAUCGUGAUAUUGAUUUGAGGCCAUAUCGCCCAGCCCUACAUGUGUGUGUUUCUGGGUUGUACCACUCAGCUGCAGGAGCCUUUUAUUCUUACAUCACAAGUGACCACACACAGAGGAGGAUCUGUGACCAGGCUGUGUGUGAGUGUAAUUGCGUGUCUGUCCUGCUGCUGGUACCUGUGUGUUUGGUCAUCACGGCACCUGAACUGUGUAAACACCUGUCAUAUUCGUCUGGCCGUACUCAUUCACUCCUCAUGCACGUUUGUGUGUUAAUGUGUGUUUGUGUGUCCGUGCUUAUAUCUGCAGGACAUGUCUGUGCUCAGUGAUGCAGGGGUAAUGAUCAGAAGAGCACGCAUGAACACUUGUGAGUACUACUGCACGAUACACACAUAAACUCACUCUUACAUACAGUGCUCCUGUCACUCAUAAUGAGUAUUCAUAUUUCUCCCAGAAAUAUGAAAAUUUCUGACUGCUGAUCCGACACAAGUGCCUCGUGGUAUUUCCAGAGUCUGAGAGCUAAAGGUUAGAGCGUGUGACCUGAAUCCCCAGACACUCACUCUGGAAGUCUUGGCAGGAGCGACGAGGGGAGUAACAACCUCUGCUGCAUCAGUGAGUACCACAGAAAUCCCCUGAGCAAGGCACUUAACCCACAGUGGCUUUAGGAGAGCUGCCCUGAGUGUCAUAAUUGUUAUCAAAGCCCCUAGAUACAACACCGAGAGGUCAACUCGCCGCACAGUGCCUGGGAUCUCUGUGACUUAAUCUCAUAUUAAUAAGAAACGAUGACGACAUUCAAAUCUAUUUGACCCCACAUUUCCAAAGACUGUUAUGGAUGAGCUGCAGUUAGAAUGGGGUCCAAAUGAAGGCAAUGAAGGAUUCAGGAAUUAACUGUUCGACAUGGACAUAAAGUAAUGGCAGUUUGGGAGAAAAUCAAACCUGUUACCUCAUUUCAAACCAGAUUUAUUUACUUUAUUCCUCUUCCCAAAAAGAGGACACGCGGGGACCGAGUCACGGAGUCACACAAAGUUAAUUUUGAGAGUUUUUCGGGUCGGAUCAAGAGUCUUUUAUGCGUUUCUAACUCAGUAAGACCAGGUGACACAAAAUCAAAACUCGUACAAAACCGCGGACAUUUGAAGGAUUUUAUAAACUUCCUCGGGACAUAGCUUGACAGCCCCCAAAAAAGAGGACAUGUCCGGGUAAAAGAGGACGUAUGGUCCCUUAUAUUAAAGCUCCUGAGAGAAACUUUUGGCAUUCUUCGCAUAUCUUGUCUUGAUUGAUUUUUGACCAAAAACUUAAUCCUGCUGAUUUCUGACAGUCAAAUUUAUUACUUACUAUGGACAUUUAAUGAGAAAAUUGCAAAAUCCAUGAGCUGACACUUGCCUCCUCACACCGAUUUCACAAUUUAGGAUAUGAAAAUCUUUUGUUUCGUUGCCAAUCGUCAUGUUUGCUUUGGGGUACCAUGAUAGGAAUCAAUAUGAAUUUCAGUUUAUUUCAUUAACCUUAAAAAAAACUCUUCACAUGAGCUUCGAGGAUAAAAGCAACACAUUCAUUAGUAUGAGAGGGGUGGGCGAGUGAUCAAAGCUCUGUACACAGAGGCUGAAGUCCUGCUCCAACUCCACCUUUUAUUGAUUUUUUUAAGAAAACAGCUAAAUGAAAAAUCUGUGGAGUGGUUAUUUAUUUUGAAUCUGCUUUUGAGAUGAAAAGUGAUAAUUGAUAAGAAGUUACCAAGACUCUCCAAACUGUUCGUAUCCGAAUAAAAGCACUAGAGAAAUGGUUCAGUGUUAGAAUUUUGACUUGAAGCAUGAGUCUUGUACAAACGCUGCAGAUUCAAAGCUUCAGGUUCUGUUACCAUCUAUUACCUGUUGAUGAUUAGUUUCAGCCUGUGCCCCACAGAUAGGACUGUUUUCUGUAGAACCAUGGACUGCACACAGUUCUGUCUGGGACUGAAACCAUAACCAGCUUUAGUUUUUAAAAAAUACUGUUUGUCUGCAUUUAAUCCCUCCAUCCAUUCAUCCUGUUUCCAAUGUCCUCGGUUUUAUUUUGUGUCAGUUAGAUGAUUUGGGAGCCCCUGUUGCCUGACGGCUGUUUCCAUGGUGACCAGGUCUCUGAAAUAUAUUUGUGCAGUUUCUUCCCUGCCUUCACUGCACUAUAUCUCUGUUCUUAUCUUUGACCUGAAAGCACAAUCUUUCCCGUGAUUCAGCUUUGUUCCUCUUUCAACAGCUCCCUGCUGCUCACACACACCGGGAUCCGGUCCAGGACCAUCGAUCCAGAGGAGGAAGGAGGAAGAGGCGGGGAGGAGGAAAGGUUGGACUGAUGUUCAAGAGCACAAUUCAGGAUGCUUUGAAAUGGAAAUGCAUCAUAGGACACUUUUUACUUCUCAGCUCAGGGGCACGAAUGUUAAAGCUGCCUUGAGUGAGGAAGGGCCUGACUUUUGUGGUUUUCUAUCUUGAACACACAAGCUAUAUGAGGUUUGAUCCUGAGGGACAGAGCCUGUGGUUUGACAAACUUAAAGGAAUAUUCCAGCAUAAAAUUAAUUUAGGGUCAAACACAUUGUAACACUCCUCGAGAGAUGAAUGUUACCGACCGCCUGCUUCUCUAGUUAUAUCAACUUUAGUAACGACCGCAGGAUAGCAAUACAGAGAGGUCUGAGGAGCCAUAAACAAACCUCAACCAAAACGCCACUCUAUAGCCACAAAUAAUGCUCAGAACAGCACCUAACUUCAUCAACAGGACAUAUAGGGUCACAGCCAUAGUACUAGCCACCACACAUCUUUUUAACUUUGACUAAUUUCUUUAGCAAAGAGACUAAACACAACUCACCUACUCUCUCCCAGCAGUCGCUUGUUUGUAGCGAGACCUCGGGCCUGUCCAUUACAGACUACAGCGGGGUGACGCAGCUCAAGGAAGAACAUUUAUGAUCAUUAAAUUAACUUUACGCCGGAAUAUCCCUUUAAGUCUAAUCAUUUACCAAAAUAUAAAAAUAAAAAUUAAUGCAAGAAUGAAACAAAAAUGGGUUGACAUAAAAUUUAAUUCAUGACUUGAAGUAGCAUCGUCUUGCUCUAAGAGUUAUUUUGAAUUUCAAAGUGACUUCCUCUCAGAAGGAGCUAAUAAACUUAAUAUUCCUACUCUCCAACCAUUCUGUCAGUCCCUCAAUCUAUGCAUAUACAUCAUUUCAAAAUAAAAGCAUGCUUUCACACUCUAGGACAUAAAGCAACUCAAACACAAGACAGUAAAAGUGUCAAAAUAAAAGCAUUACAAACCGUCGUUUUCAAAGGCAGUCUCUUCCCCAAAGGUCAACACAAACUGGGUCACUUACAUUAACCUUUACCACAGUGUGUGUCGACUACUGCAGCAAAGAUUACGCCGGAGAAUAUGUCAAAUUAAAGCCAUGUACCUCAAAUAUAAAACGUGCUUACGGAUAAUAUGUAACGCAGAAUAACACACAGACAAUAAUCAAAGUAAUAACAUUGUCAUUGUGAAUAUUCUUGAUUAAUUUAAAUCCAUAACAGCCCUGAACAGAAGAUACAACACACUGCAACAGCUGCUAAAUGGGAAAAACAUCAUUUUUUUAGUGUUUCUUUUUUUUUUCCAGGUCACUUUGAAAAAACAAAAACUUGAUUGAUGGCUCGAACUCGAGGGAUGACAAAGCGGUGCAGAAACCAGGCCACUCUUACAUUGUGAUGGAGGGGAGUAUUGAUCCCAUUUGGACACAGUGACUGCUUCGAAUUAGAAUCACACAGGCAUGCACUCAUACUAAGAAUCCUGCACGCAGCCUCACAGGCAAACAUUUACAUAGCAACACAAACAUGUCUGUGCAGUCACAACUAGACGACAACAUUUACACACACUAAGUGGAUCACUGUCUCAUUAGCUCCUGUGUUAUGCAAUCAAGUAUGCUUUCCUUUCCAUCACUUCUUAACUGUUCAUCAUUGUGUGCAUGCGUGUGUGUGCAUAUAUGGCAGCUGCGUAAUAUCCACGGCCUUUUGCUCCAUCUUAAGUCUCUAAAAACAGCAGUAUAAUUGUCUAAUCUCCCACAGCAGGUGGUGCAUACAGAAAUAAAACAUGUGAGGAGGCUGCAGCUUCCCUCUGACCACCUCCAACACACAUUGUUUCCAUGUGAUCCCUGUUCUCUUGUGUGCGUGGCGGUGGUUUCCAUUCCCUGGAAUAACUCAGUGUAAGCCAUCUUUAUUCCAGUGUGAUGCUGCAGAAAGAACCAGCUCAGGUCUGAUUUCAUAUCAGUUAAUUCUCUCACCCUCUAUGUCUCCUUUCCCGUCACUAUCGGCACAAAUUGAAGAUCAUCCCGUGUUUUUUAGUCUUCACUGAUGCUCACAUCUGCCAUCAAAAAUGAUGACAUGCUAAUGCAGGCUGUAUCCUGCAUUCAGAGGACGGUGUGUUUGUUCCGGUGUUUGCCCCAGAUGAUAGUGAUGAUGCAGAUGUGCAUUUUGUUUUUGUUUCACAGCAAAGAACAAGAUUCACACUGAACAGAUGCUGCCAAUUAAGCAAAAACACACAAGGGAGGUGAUUCAAUCCACCUCAUCUUUGGAAUUAUAAUAAGAAUUUUAAAAAAUACAAAGGACUGGAGAUGUUUAUAAAGUAUUUGUAGAGAACCUCACCAAUGCAUCCAUCUUUUAGUACACUUUAUGUCUCAUAUUGGUGAUAAACCAGACUGGAUUACCACCAUCCAUUGACUUUGUUGGCAGUCCAACAGCAGGUUCAGAUAGUUUGAGGGUCUAGUUUUAUUUAUUUAUUUAUUUAUUUUUUAACAAAAAACAAGAGCCCAGUUAAAAACAAGGCCUCCGAAUUGAAGGUCAAUUUCAUUUGUCAUAAGGAACCCAGACAAUACAAGAACCCUACAACAUAAAAUGUGACAGUAGUUCAAAUAAGACAUAAUUUCUUAAAACAGCAUAACAAAUAUAAGUGAUGUUGUCUUAAAUCAAGAUACCAAAACAUUCUCAUUUAAUAUAUAUUUUUAUUCCACAAGCAGGCAUGAAGAAAACAAGCAUGUUCUUUGUGGUUUUGCAGUUUUCAUCUGGUCAUUGUAUUAUGUUGUGUGUCGUACAGACUAGCCUCCUGACGUCUUUAUAUGUCAGAUAAUGUAUGAUUCAGCGGAUUCUGUCAGGUUCAGAUGACCUGCAAUAGAAAUCUUCAUUUAAAAAAAAAAUGCUUCAUGGCAUUCUUGAAUUGAAAAGUUGUACAUAUAUCUUACUCUUAAAAUGAGACGAAUAAUCUUGUUGCUCCGCCG
Xyrichtys novacula (pearly razorfish) is the source of this 16673-nucleotide non-coding RNA. The record is from the annotation of a GenBank genome assembly. NCBI's taxonomy places the organism in Eukaryota, Metazoa, Chordata, Actinopteri, Labriformes, Labridae.